RNAcentral lists this ribosomal RNA (1443 nucleotides) under uncultured organism. RNAcentral describes it as "SSU rRNA". It matches the Rfam family "Bacterial small subunit ribosomal RNA". The record is from RNAcentral.
CGCUAGCUACAGGCUUAACACAUGCAAGUCGAGGGGCAGCAUUUCAGUUUGCUUGCAAACUGGAGAUGGCGACCGGCGCACGGGUGAGUAACACGUAUCCAACCUGCCGAUAACUCGGGGAUAGCCUUUCGAAAGAAAGAUUAAUACCCGAUGGCAUAAUUAGACCGCAUGGUCUUAUUAUUAAAGAAUUUCGGUUAUCGAUGGGGAUGCGUUCCAUUAGGCAGUUGGUGAGGUAACGGCUCACCAAACCUUCGAUGGAUAGGGGUUCUGAGAGGAAGGUCCCCCACAUUGGAACUGAGACACGGUCCAAACUCCUACGGGAGGCAGCAGUGAGGAAUAUUGGUCAAUGGGCGCAGGCCUGAACCAGCCAAGUAGCGUGAAGGAUGACUGCCCUAUGGGUUGUAAACUUCUUUUAUAUGGGAAUAAAGUUUUCCACGUGUGGAAUUUUGUAUGUACCAUAUGAAUAAGGAUCGGCUAACUCCGUGCCAGCAGCCGCGGUAAUACGGAGGAUCCGAGCGUUAUCCGGAUUUAUUGGGUUUAAAGGGGGCGUAGGUGGACAGUUAAGUCAGUUGUGAAAGUUUGCGGCUCAACCGUAAAAUUGCAGUUGAUACUGGCUGUCUUGAGUACAGUAGAGGUGGGCGGAAUUCGUGGUGUAGCGGUGAAAUGCUUAGAUAUCACGAAGAACUCCGAUUGCGAAGGCAGCUCACUGGACUGCAACUGACACUGAUGCUCGAAAGUGUGGGUAUCAAACAGGAUUAGAUACCCUGGUAGUCCACACAGUAAACGAUGAAUACUCGCUGUUUGCGAUAUACAGUAAGCGGCCAAGCGAAAGCAUUAAGUAUUCCACCUGGGGAGUACGCCGGCAACGGUGAAACUCAAAGGAAUUGACGGGGGCCCGCACAAGCGGAGGAACAUGUGGUUUAAUUCGAUGAUACGCGAGGAACCUUACCCGGGCUUAAAUUGCAUUUGAAUAUAUUGGAAACAGUAUAGCCGUAAGGCAAAUGUGAAGGUGCUGCAUGGUUGUCGUCAGCUCGUGCCGUGAGGUGUCGGCUUAAGUGCCAUAACGAGCGCAACCCUUAUCUUUAGUUACUAACAGGUCAUGCUGAGGACUCUAGAGAGACUGCCGUCGUAAGAUGUGAGGAAGGUGGGGAUGACGUCAAAUCAGCACGGCCCUUACGUCCGGGGCUACACACGUGUUACAAUGGGGGGUACAGAAGGCAGCUACCUGGUGACAGGAUGCUAAUCCCAAAAGCCUCUCUCAGUUCGGAUCGAAGUCUGCAACCCGACUUCGUGAAGCUGGAUUCGCUAGUAAUCGCGCAUCAGCCAUGGCGCGGUGAAUACGUUCCCGGGCCUUGUACACACCGCCCGUCAAGCCAUGAAAGCCGGGGGUACCUGAAGUACGUAACCGCAAGGAGCGUCCUAGGGUAAAACUGGUAAUUGGGG